AGUCAUGUUAUUGGAGAGCGACGUUUUUGCGAAGAGUUAGGGAUUCAUCACUUGGAGUUGGACUUUGGAUCAUGCUGCACUCUUCUCAAGCUACUACUGUAGAUAAAAGCAGAGUUUCAGUUCUUAGGGUUCUAAUUCAUAGAUUUUCAUUCAUCCCUUAAGUUCAGCAUUCAUGAGAAAUCGAUUUGUAGGAGGUGCUUCACGACUUCCGGGUUUCAAGAGUGAUCAUUGAAUAUCAUCUGCCACUAUUGAGAUCAAUAUAAUCACUACUGGAAUUGCGUCAAGUGCUACCGAGGAUUGCUAUUAUCAAUCUUAUCUAGCAAGUGGUGGUACUAUGUGGCUUUCGUCAUCUCUCAGGUCACAAGCUAUGAGAAAUUCUCAGGCUUAAUAUACAUCUCUAUCCCAUGCAGGCUCAUGGUGUAAGGAGGUUGGGGCAGACCCUUCUUUUUAUCCUCUUUAGGAUGAUUUUUCUUUUAUCAUAAGGCAUCUACUGAUGUUUUUAUCGUUAUGUACUCUGUUCUGAACUUGUUUGUUUUUCCAUCACAAGUCGGUUGAUUUGAACACUUUAAUAAAAUUACUCAGAGACAAAAAAAAAAUAUCAUGCAAUUCUUUUUUUCCCUAAUUUAAGAUGAUAUUUUUUUUCCAAUAUUAUAUAUUAUUAUAUAUGUUGCUCUUAAUAUCACAAAAUAUUAUAUAUAUAUAUAUAUAUAUAUAUUUUAAAAUUUGUAUUUGGGUUUUGUGUCUAUUUCUUUUUGUAUUUGGUGAUAUUUUAUAAUAGUUGCAAAUUAUACUGUAUUUUAAACUUUCAAUAAAAAAGGUUUUUAUUUAUAUUUUUAGUGAUUUUCUAAUUUUAUUAUUAGCUGAACUGUUUGUCUAUGAUGUUUUAUACCAAUAAUCUAGUUUAAACAUUUAAUGCUAUUUUGAGAAAAAGAGAUCAUAAAUUAAUAUUUCUGUUAUUUUAUCAAAAUAUCAUAAUUCCAACAUGUUAGUGUACAUCUCUUAAAAUACUAUUGAAGUUUUUUUUUAUUACUAGGUCGACCAAUAUCGGAUCACAUUUGAUUACAGAGUUUUGAAGUUUUCAUGCUUUAUGUAGAAGUCGUCGUGUUUACCGGUUCGACCAUGAAUCUGAACUUGAUACAAAAAUAUUGUUUUCAUCUAAUUUCAAAAUAAUUUAUCUUAAAACAAUAGAUGUGCUAAGUGUGAUCACACCAUAUGAAAUUUUUUUUAAAAAAAAUUAAUAAAUGAAUAACAAAUAUAAUUACAUCAAUAACUAAAUAAAAAUAAUUUCAUUUUUUGUAUAAUACAAUUCUGUAACAUAAUAGGUGCAACAAAACUAACAUACUAAUUUAUAUCAAAUAUUUUUAACUGGAAAAUCAUCCGCAUUUUUGAAACGCGAGUCAAAAUAUAGUAUAACUUCUUUUUUUUUUUGCAUCUAAAUAUAGUAUAACUUUAAAAAAUGAAAUAAUAUUAUCCUGUGUGUCAUCUCAAAACUACAAACACUCACAAUUCUCUAUUUUUUUAUUAGUAAGGUGAUGUACAUUAUUUAACGACCUGAAGGUAGAAGAUCUACACAUCGUAUGUUACAUUUGCAAUAACGCUUGAUCUUAUGUAACAUGAUGAUAUUAUCACAUGUGCAGUUAAUAUACUUUUCCUUAUAAGUUUCCGCCAUAUAAUUCAUGCACACUUUCGGUCCAUCAACUUUGCAGUUUCCUUCGAUAUCUUCUAUUCUUGGACACAACUGAUUUGGAUCACUCUCUUCCAUUAUGUUAUACAUCAACAACACAGCAAAAAAAAAACCAUUAGCUUGUAGUUGAAGAUAUCUACAUACAGGUCCGGCUUAAUUUUUUUUGGACCUUGUGCAAGUUCUAACUUUUCAAGAGCAAUAAAAAUAAUUUGUAAAAUAGGACCCUAAUUCUACAAAAUUAGACCAUAAAUUCUAACUGAAUUUAUUUUAAUAUUUGGUGGACACUGUGCAAAUGUGCCUUGUACAAAUGGUAAGAGCUGGCACUGUCUACAUAAACAAUUGCAGUGCAAGCCGGAUCUACAAUUUUGAGAAAUUGAAGCAUAUCUUAAGAAAAAUUAAAAAAUUUGGAUGCCAACACUAAUGUUUUAUCGGGUUGUGCGUUGAUUUGGCCCGAGUGCAACAUUUGCGAUUAGUGACAAUCAAUGUUUUGUAUUAGGCAAAUAUCGAAAGGAAAUGAAUAAUACCUUUUGCUCCUUUACCAUCACUCAUUACGAGAAUGAUAAGAACACAGAAACUUAUAAACCACAUAGCAGAUCUCAUGGUUAAACAAUGUUCCUUGCAGAAUGCUAUAACUUGUUUUUUUUCGUGACAAGUAUUUGUUUACUUUGUAAACACACUCGUAAUAUAUAAACUUAAAACACACAUUAAAAAUAGAUAAUUCUAUCUUUAGAAACAUUUACUUUGUAAAAAUUCAACGUGCUGAGCUAACUGAUUCGAGUAUCAAUUUUUUUAUAGUAAAUUCCAACAGGCAUGCAAUUCUUUUUUCAUGUUCAACAAUUAUUAUACAAUAAAAUUGCUAUGAAUUAAAUUAGGCUGACUCAAAGUAUAAGAUAAUUUAAUCAACAAUUUUUUUUAUUUAUGUUGCAUCCCCUAUAUAUUAAUUGAGAAACAUUUGAAAAGAUGUGAGCUCAAUUUUGCAAUAACUAAAAAAAAUCACUUGUUUAUGUGUCAAUCAAUUAGGUAGUUAAUUAGUCAUACGUGUCAGUUUCACAUUGAAAUUGAAAAACAUGUUGGUCCAAUUCAAUUUUUAUAUCUCAUUAGAAAUAUUACCAACUAUAUGAUAUCAUUGAUAUUAACUAAAUCAAGGUGGCUAAUUAUUAUAUAUUAUUUAAUAAAGUAAUAAAAUUGUAUUUAUGUUGUAAAAAAUAAUUGGUAUAUGUUAAUUCUUAUUCGGUGAUUUUUUUUUAAAUAACUUGUUACAGUUUAUUAUAUUUUCAAUAAACAUUAAUUAAAAUUUUGUUAUUAUAUUUUAAUUAUAAGUUUAAAUUUUAAUUCAUACUAACAAACUAAUUUUGUUUUUUUAAUUUGAUGCUAUUUAAAUAAACAUAAAUUAAUAGUUCUAUAUUUUUUUAAAUAUUUAUACUUCUUAAAAUUAUUAAUUUGUAGAGUAUAAACUAUUAACAGUAUAAACAUCUUGUGACAAAAUUUAAAAUCUGGAUUUCUACAAAAUCUAGAAAAUAGAUUGAUUGAGAAACUCAUACUAGUUAUAAAAUAUCAACUCAUGACUUUAUUACAAAAGAAAGAUUUGGUGACUAACAAAACCUAUUCGUGUGUGAUCUCCACAGUACUACAAACUCUCACAACUUCUCUCUUUUGUUAUUAGUGAGGACUAAUGAGAUGUUAUUUAACGAGUCUGGAUCGAUGGAGGUGGAGCGUCUGGACAUUUUUCGUCACAUCGGCAAUAACGCUUGAUCUUACGUAACAUGUAGACGUUGUCACAUGUGCAAUUAAAAUAGGUACCGUUAUAAGUUGUCGACAUAUACUUCUCACAAGCUUUCGGUCCAUCAACUUUGCAGUUUCCUUCGAUAUCUUCUAUUCUUGGACAUAUAUUAUCUGGAUCAACUUCAACCAAAAAAAAAACUUAUCUGGAUCAACCUCUUCAAUAAUUUUAUAUCAACCACACAUCAAAAAAAAU
Long non-coding RNA from Brassica rapa (field mustard), 3659 nucleotides. RefSeq lists it as uncharacterized. Lineage: Eukaryota; Viridiplantae; Streptophyta; Magnoliopsida; Brassicales; Brassicaceae. The record is from RefSeq and is a predicted model, not a curated record.